RNAcentral lists this ribosomal RNA (732 nucleotides) under uncultured crenarchaeote. Its description in RNAcentral is "bacterial SSU rRNA". It matches the Rfam family "Archaeal small subunit ribosomal RNA", at positions 609 to 1335 of the family's 1478-position model. Lineage: Archaea; Thermoproteati; Thermoproteota. The record is from RNAcentral.
UCUGAGGUACUACGGGGGUAGGGUGAAAUCUUAUAAUCCUUGUAGGACCACCAGUGGCGAAGGCGUCAGACUGGAACGCGCCUGACGGUGAGGGACGAAAGCCAGGGGAGCGAACCGGAUUAGAUACCCGGGUAGUCCUGGCCGUAAACGAUGCAUACUAGGUGAUGGCACGGCCAUGAGCCAUGUCAGUGCCGUAGGGAAACCGUUAAGUGUGCCGCCUGGGAAGUACGGUCGCAAGGCUAAAACUUAAAGGAAUUGGCGGGGGAGCACCACAAGGGGUGAAGCCUGCGGUUCAAUUGGACUCAACGCCGGGAAACUUACCAGGGGAGACAGUAGGAUGAUGGUCAGGUUGACGACCUUACCUAACGAGCUGAGAGGAGGUGCAUGGCCGUCGCCAGUUCGUGCUGUGAGGUAUCCUGUUAAGUCAGGCAACGAACGAGAUCCGCACCUUUAUUUGCCACCAAGAAGUUGCGACUUUGUUGGGAACAAUAAAGGGACCGCCGUUCGAUAAGACGGAGGAAGGAGCGGGCAAAGGCAGGUCAGUAUGACCCCGAAAACCCCUUGGGCUACCAGCGCGGGCUGCAAUGAUAUGAACAAUGGGCUGUGACUCCGAAAGGAGAAACCAAUCCCGAAAUCAUAUCACAGUGGGGAUUGUCGGCUGUAACCCGCUGACAUGAACGUGGAAUCCCUAGUAAUCGUGUGUCACCAUCGCACGGUGAUACGUCUCUGCUC